RNAcentral lists this ribosomal RNA (317 nucleotides) under uncultured bacterium. Its description in RNAcentral is "bacterial SSU rRNA". It matches the Rfam family "Bacterial small subunit ribosomal RNA", at positions 28 to 334 of the family's 1533-position model. The record is from RNAcentral.
GAUGAACGCUAGCUGGCAGGCUUAACACAUGCAAGUCGAGGGGCAGCAUUUCAGUUUGCUUGCAAACUGGAGAUGGCGACCGGCGCACGGGUGAGUAACACGUAUCCAACCUGCCGAUAACUCGGGGAUAGCCUUUCGAAAGAAAGAUUAAUACCCGAUAGUAUAAUGAAACCGCAUGGUCUUAUUAUUAAAGGAUUCCGGUUACCGAUGGGGAUGCGUUCCAUUAGGCAGUUGGCGGGGUAACGGCCCACCAAACCUACGAUGGAUAGGGGUUCUGAGAGGAAGGUCCCCCACAUUGGAACUGAGACACGGUCCAA